Boleophthalmus pectinirostris (great blue-spotted mudskipper) is the source of this 370-nucleotide long non-coding RNA. RefSeq lists it as uncharacterized. The record is from RefSeq and is a predicted model, not a curated record. Lineage: Eukaryota; Metazoa; Chordata; Actinopteri; Gobiiformes; Gobiidae. The transcript is spliced from 3 exons.
UCCGGGCUGUCGACAGAUGAAAGUGACACUUCUGAAUGGUCUGAAUGCACAGAGGGUUAAAUGAGUCACGCCUGGAUUCAACUGAGCAAACAGAGAAGAGCCAGUGGUUGUGUAAUUACAGCGGUGAUGGCAAUAAUUCAACUGCAACUAGUGAUUUAGCUCCAACUGUGCAUCAUGGGAGUAUUCUACCCCAGCCACAGUGCAGCGCCGAAACACCAUCUUGUUCUCGGCCCGGCACUGCAGAUGGGAGUCGGUCUCCUCGUCGUACAGCUCCAGGUCAUUGUGGAUGAAAUAAACCUGGCAAAUCUUCACAAUCUCAAUGGACACGAAGAGCGAGAUGGGAAUCAGCACCUGCAGAGGACACAGGGGG